Macaca fascicularis (crab-eating macaque) is the source of this 1548-nucleotide long non-coding RNA. NCBI's taxonomy places the organism in Eukaryota, Metazoa, Chordata, Mammalia, Primates, Cercopithecidae. The record is from Ensembl.
AGUGCAUUGUGGGAAACUCCCGAGCUCUCCGCGUUCGCAGCCGCCGUCGUCCCGUGGAGGAGCGCGCAGCCCAGGGGAGGCCCAUAGAAUGCCCAGGAGUGACAAGCUGUCCUGAGCCCCUCUGGUGUACUCACCUGCCUGUCCCAUACGCCCCGCCCACCAUGGAGUCCAGAGGGAAGUCGGCCAGCAGCCCUAAGCCUGACACCAAGGCGCCCCAGGCCACCACCGAGGCCAAGGUACCCCCGGCAGCCGAUGGGAAGGCCCCCUCGACCAAGCCCUCGAAGAAGGAGGCCCCGGCCGAGAAGCAGCAGCCGCCAGCGGCCCCCACCACGGUACCUGCCAAGAAGACCCUGGCCAAGGCCGACCCUGCCCUUCUCAACAACCACAGUAACCUGAAGCCGGCCCCCACGGCCCCCGCGGUCCCCAGCAGUCCUGAUGCAACCCCAGAGGCCAAGGGUCCUGGGGAUGGGGCGGAGGAGGACGAAGCUGCCGGUGGGGGGUCUGGGGGCCAAGGUCCCUGGUCCUGCGAGAACUUGAACCCCCUGCUGGUGGCUGGAGGUGUGGCCGUGGCAGCCAUAGCCCUGAUUCUCGGUACCUGAGGAAGCCAGUGCAUGCAGAGUUCACCCUUAUCUACGUGUACACACACACAUUCAUUACACACCUACAUAUGCCCCCAAUACACACACAAAGUGGAGAGGAUGCCCGAGCCCACCCCUGCUGACCCAGGACUUCCCCAACCUCCAGGGCAGAAAGAGUCCAGGCUCCGGGGUCCACAGCACAGGAUGCGGGGAGAAGGCACAGCUGGGGAACCUCAAGAAAGGAACGGACCCCAUGUGUGGGCCCCCCACCCCCGGCAGCUGGGUGAUCCUGGGCCCCCAGGGCUGGUCUCUGAGUGGGGGUGCUGGGAUGGGUUCUGCCUGGGCCCGGCCCUCGUGGGGACAUUAAAGGGCACGGUUGCUCCACUUGCCCCAGUUCUGCUCUUUGUGUACCCCUGGGGGUCUGCCUGGGCCGAUGCAGUGGGACAGACCUGGGGUGGGCAGUCACCUCAGCAGAGCCUCAGUGCCACCUCCCCACACCACCCAAGCCUAGCUGGGUGGGAAGACGGAGCCUGAAGCCUGCUUGUGGAGGGGGUGCUGCCCAAGGGUUGCCUUCCCCAGCUUGUGCUCCAGGGGAGCUCCGAUGCUGGUGGGGAGGCAGGAUGUCGAGGGCCCCUCAUAGUUGUGCCCACCCUGCCCCGCUAGACUGCCCCUCCAGCUUGCACCUGGCACCAUCUGAGUCUAACCAGCGUAUAAAUGCAAUAACAGGUAGAGUAGAACUGCUUGGCGGCGACCGUCACACACUGUCCUCAGCCCACCGUACCUGGGGAGGCCCCUUGUGCAGCCCCUCCUUAGCACAUCCAGUCCCAGCGUGGUCUUUGGCGUGCAGCAGCAGGCGAGCUCCCGGAAGGUGGUGGUGGGCACUGUGAGAACGCAGCCUGCCCUCACUGGCCAGCGGCCACAGGAACCCUGGGCCUGAGUGGAGGCUGAGUCUGAAAUAAACUCUGUUGUC